UUACGGCCAUAUCACCUUGAAACACCGGUUCCCGUAGUAUCACCGAAAUUAAGCAACGUUGGGCAUGGUCAGUAACUGGAUGGGUGACCGCCUGGAAAUACCAGGUGCUGUCAG
Molecule: non-coding RNA, 114 nt
Organism: Acanthosepion pharaonis
Lineage: Eukaryota; Metazoa; Mollusca; Cephalopoda; Sepiida; Sepiidae
Source: the annotation of a GenBank genome assembly